AUUGAACGCUGGCGGCAUGCCUUACACAUGCAAGUCGAACGGCAGCACGGGAGCAAUCCUGGUGGCGAGUGGCGAACGGGUGAGUAAUGUAUCGGAACGUACCUUUCAGUGGGGGAUAACGUAGCGAAAGUUACGCUAAUACCGCAUACUCUGUGAGCAGGAAAGCAGGGGAUCGCAAGACCUUGCGCUGAUUGAGCGGCCGAUAUCAGAUUAGCUAGUUGGUGAGGUAAAGGCUCACCAAGGCGACGAUCUGUAGCGGGUCUGAGAGGAUGAUCCGCCACACUGGAACUGAGACACGGUCCAGACUCCUACGGGAGGCAGCAGUGGGGAAUUUUGGACAAUGGGCGCAAGCCUGAUCCAGCCAUGCCGCGUGAGUGAAGAAGGCCUGGUU
RNAcentral lists this ribosomal RNA (391 nucleotides) under uncultured bacterium. Its description in RNAcentral is "bacterial SSU rRNA". It matches the Rfam family "Bacterial small subunit ribosomal RNA", at positions 30 to 424 of the family's 1533-position model. The record is from RNAcentral.